This 251-nucleotide ribosomal RNA is filed under the name uncultured prokaryote. RNAcentral's name for it is "partial 16S rRNA". It matches the Rfam family "Bacterial small subunit ribosomal RNA", at positions 525 to 775 of the family's 1533-position model. The record is from RNAcentral.
AAAGAGGUGGCAAGCGUUACUCGGAAUUAUUGGGUGUAAAGGGCAGGUAGGUGGCCUAGUAAGUGAGGGGUGAAAUACUGCGGUUCAAUCGCAGAACAGCCUUUCAAACUGCAUGGCUUGAGAGAACUAGAGGAAGAUGGAAUUCCCGGUGUAGAGUUUACAUUUGUUGGUAUCGGGAGGAACUCCAGCGGCGAAGGCAACCUACAGGCUUUCUACUGACAAUGAUCCGCGAGAGCUUGUUGAGCAAACAG